AGUUAGCGGCGGACGGGUGAGUAACACGUGGGUAACCUGCCCAUAAGACUGGGAUAACUCCGGGAAACCGGGGCUAAUACCGGAUAACAUUUUGAACCGCAUGGUUCGAAAUUGAAAGGCGGCUUCGGCUGUCACUUAUGGAUGGACCCGCGUCGCAUUAGCUAGUUGGUGAGGUAACGGCUCACCAAGGCAACGAUGCGUAGCCGACCUGAGAGGGUGAUCGGCCACACUGGGACUGAGACACGGCCCAGACUCCUACGGGAGGCAGCAGUAGGGAAUCUUCCGCAAUGGACGAAAGUCUGACGGAGCAACGCCGCGUGAGUGAUGAAGGCUUUCGGGUCGUAAAACUCUGUUGUUAGGGAAGAACAAGUGCUAGUUGAAUAAGCUGGCACCUUGACGGUACCUAACCAGAAAGCCACGGCUAACUACGUGCCAGCAGCCGCGGUAAUACGUAGGUGGCAAGCGUUAUCCGGAAUUAUUGGGCGUAAAGCGCGCGCAGGUGGUUUCUUAAGUCUGAUGUGAAAGCCCACGGCUCAACCGUGGAGGGUCAUUGGAAACUGGGAGACUUGAGUGCAGAAGAGGAAAGUGGAAUUCCAUGUGUAGCGGUGAAAUGCGUAGAGAUAUGGAGGAACACCAGUGGCGAAGGCGAC
RNAcentral lists this ribosomal RNA (650 nucleotides) under Bacillus cereus. RNAcentral describes it as "bacterial SSU rRNA". It matches the Rfam family "Bacterial small subunit ribosomal RNA", at positions 90 to 725 of the family's 1533-position model. Lineage: Bacteria; Bacillati; Bacillota; Bacilli; Caryophanales; Bacillaceae. The record is from RNAcentral.